Molecule: ribosomal RNA, 482 nt
Filed under: uncultured bacterium
Lineage: Bacteria
Description: partial 16S ribosomal RNA
Rfam family: Bacterial small subunit ribosomal RNA
Source: RNAcentral
GGGGGGGGGGGGGGGGGGGCGGGGCGGGGGGGGGGCGGGCGGGGGCGGGGCGUGGGGUGCUGGCGCGUGGCGGGCGGGGGGGUACUACGUCGGGACGGGCCCGCUCGCGGGGGAUACCGCGGCGACCGCUUUGCUCAUACCGCAUCCGGUCUACGGACGACCGCCGGGGCCCUCCGGCCCUCGCGCGGCCCGACCGGCCGAUGGCCGAUUAGGUCGUUGGUGGGCCAAACGCUUACCAAGCCGACGAUCUGUAGCUGGGCUGAGAGGAUGAUCAGCCACACUGGGACUGAGACACGGCCCAGACUCCUACGGGAGGCAGCAGUGGGGAAUUUUGGACAAAGGGCGAAAGCCUGAUCCAGCCAUGCCGCGUGCAGGAUGAAGGCCUUCGGGUUGUAAACUGCUUUUGUACGGAACGAAAAGCCUCUUUCUAAUAAAGAGGGGUCAUGACGGUACCGUAAGAAUAAGCACCGGCUAGCUACGUG